This 67-nucleotide transfer RNA is filed under the name Butyrivibrio sp. RNAcentral's name for it is "tRNA-Val". It matches the Rfam family "tRNA". Rfam says of the family: Transfer RNA (tRNA) molecules are approximately 80 nucleotides in length. RNAcentral also lists the same sequence under 6 other names. Lineage: Bacteria; Bacillati; Bacillota; Clostridia; Lachnospirales; Lachnospiraceae. The record is from RNAcentral.
UUAGCUCAGCUGGGAGAGCAUCUGCCUUACAAGCAGAGGGUCACAGGUUCGAGCCCUGUAGGUCCCA